This 200-nucleotide ribosomal RNA is filed under the name uncultured bacterium. RNAcentral's name for it is "partial 16S ribosomal RNA". It matches the Rfam family "Bacterial small subunit ribosomal RNA", at positions 8 to 198 of the family's 1533-position model. The record is from RNAcentral.
AGAGUUUGAUCCUGGCUCAGGACAAACGCUGGCGGCGUGCGUAACACAUGCAAGUCGGACGAGGUGGUGUGGCUCUUCGGAGCGACACGAUCGAGUGGCGGACGGGUGAGUAACACGUGGAUAACCUGCCCUGGUGUGGGGGAUACCCUGUAGAAAUACGGGCUAAGACCGCAUAUGGUCGCUUGUGGGGAGCCAGAAGC